GAUGAAGAACGCAGCGAAAUGCGAUAAGUAAUGUGAAUUGCAGAAUUCAGUGAAUCAUCGAAUCUUUGAACGCACAUUGCGCCCGCCAGUAUUCUGGCGGGCAUGCCUGUUCGAGCGUCAUUACAAACCUCAGGCCCCCGGGCCUGGCGUUGGGGAUCGGCGGAGCCCCCCGUGGGCACACGCCGUCCCCCAAAUGCAGUGGCGGUCCCGCCGCAGCUUCCAUCGCGUAGUAGCUAACACCUCGCGACUGGAGAGCGGCGCGGCCACGCCGUAAAACACCCAACUCUUCUGAAGUUGACCUCGAAUCAGGUAGGAAUACCCGCUGAACUUAAGCAUAUCAAUAAGCGGAGGA
This 352-nucleotide unclassified non-coding RNA is filed under the name soil metagenome. Its description in RNAcentral is "partial contains 5.8S ribosomal RNA, internal transcribed spacer 2, and large subunit ribosomal RNA". The stretch from base 1 to 120 matches the Rfam family "5.8S ribosomal RNA", at positions 35 to 154 of the family's 154-position model. The record is from RNAcentral.